AGAUCAUUGCAGAGUCAUGAAUCUGCUCAAGAGGCAGUCCUAAAUUCCAAAGGGACAUGGGAAUCUCUGAAUAGCAGCAGCUGUUGCCUCUGACUCAGCCUAUCCAAAAAGUACUAAUUUGGAAGUUUGGCCAAGGCUGAUCUAGUAAUGGCACGCACACAGGAGAUCACUGUGCGCUAAAUGCUGUUCCACUUUCAUCUGUGUGGAAACUGAACUGGGAAGCUCAGAGCCCUGGGUUACUUUAAGCUUCCCUCUGAGCUGGCCUGACAGAGGCUCAAGAACCUUGGAGGCACACAACUUCAGCUUCUACCUACCGCCACAGAGCCAGCCAAAACACAUCACUUUGAGAUUAUGGAUCCUUACACCAGAGGCUGACAUUUUCAGGAAGCAGCUCAGCCUCAGGAAGGAACCCCUCCCAUGGAGAAAGCUACUCCAAAAGGACAGAGAGCAGUCAACUUCCCUGGCAAAAGCAACUGGAACUAGCUGCUGUGGGGAGAUCAGAGACCAGACUGGGCACAAGUUUCAUCCUGCCACCACAUGCUAUGUAACA
Pipra filicauda (Wire-tailed manakin) is the source of this 550-nucleotide long non-coding RNA. RefSeq lists it as uncharacterized. NCBI's taxonomy places the organism in Eukaryota, Metazoa, Chordata, Aves, Passeriformes, Pipridae. The transcript has 4 exons. The record is from RefSeq and is a predicted model, not a curated record.